CACGUAGUUAGCCGGUGCUUCUUAUCCAGGUACCGUCACCCGAAGGCUUCUUCCCUAGCGAAAGAGGUUUACAACCCGAAGGCCGUCAUCCCUCACGCGGCGUCGCUGCAUCAGGCUUCCGCCCAUUGUGCAAUAUUCCCCACUGCUGCCUCCCGUAGGAGUCUGGGCCGUGUCUCAGUCCCAAUGUGGCCGUCCACCCUCUCAGGCCGGCUACCCGUCGUCGCCUUGGUAGGCCAUUACCCCACCAACAAGCUGAUAGGCCGCGGGCUCAUCCUCCACCGAAAAAACUUUCCACCAACCACACUAAAGAUUGGUCCUAUCCGGUAUUAGACCCAGUUUCCCAGGCUUAUCCCGAAGUGAAGGGCAGAUCACCCACGUGUUACUCACCCGUUCGCCACUCGAGUACCCCUGCAAGCAGGGGCCUUUCCGUUCGACUUGCAUGUGUUAAGCACGCCGCCAGCGUUCGUCCUGAGCCAGGAUCAAACUCU
RNAcentral lists this ribosomal RNA (488 nucleotides) under uncultured Corynebacterium sp. Its description in RNAcentral is "partial 16S ribosomal RNA". Lineage: Bacteria; Bacillati; Actinomycetota; Actinomycetes; Mycobacteriales; Corynebacteriaceae. The record is from RNAcentral.